CGAGGUGUAGCGCAGUUUGGUAGCGCACAUGGUUUGGGACCAUGGGGCCGGGGGUUCGAGUCCCUUAUCCACCCCAA
Molecule: transfer RNA, 77 nt
Filed under: Clostridioides difficile
Lineage: Bacteria; Bacillati; Bacillota; Clostridia; Peptostreptococcales; Peptostreptococcaceae
Description: tRNA-Pro
Rfam family: tRNA
About the family: Transfer RNA (tRNA) molecules are approximately 80 nucleotides in length. Their secondary structure includes four short double-helical elements and three loops (D, anti-codon, and T loops). Further hydrogen bonds mediate the characteristic L-shaped molecular structure. tRNAs have two regions of fundamental functional importance: the anti-codon, which is responsible for specific mRNA codon recognition, and the 3' end, to which the tRNAs corresponding amino acid is attached (by aminoacyl-tRNA synthetases). tRNAs cope with the degeneracy of the genetic code in two manners: having more than one tRNA (with a specific anti-codon) for a particular amino acid; and 'wobble' base-pairing, i.e. permitting non-standard base-pairing at the 3rd anti-codon position.
Source: RNAcentral